Molecule: ribosomal RNA, 169 nt
Filed under: Trimma fangi (Fang's pygmy goby)
Lineage: Eukaryota; Metazoa; Chordata; Actinopteri; Gobiiformes; Gobiidae
Description: partial 12S rRNA
Source: RNAcentral
CACCGCGGUUAUACGAUACGCUCAAGUUGACAGCCCUCGGCAUAAAGCGUGGUUAAUUAACAACAAAACUAAAGUCGAACCCGCCUCAGAUCUGUUAAAAGCCUACGAGACGGGGAAGCCCAACAACGAAAGUGACUUUAAAAUUAAUGAAUCCACUAAAGCUAAGAAA